RNAcentral lists this ribosomal RNA (253 nucleotides) under uncultured bacterium. RNAcentral's name for it is "partial 16S ribosomal RNA". It matches the Rfam family "Bacterial small subunit ribosomal RNA", at positions 524 to 776 of the family's 1533-position model. The record is from RNAcentral.
UACAGAGGGUGCAAGCGUUAAUCGGAAUUACUGGGCGUAAAGCGUGUGUAGGUGGUUUGUUAAGUCAGGUGUGAAAUCCCUGGGCUCAACCUAGGAAUUGCAUUUGAUACUGACAAGCUUGAGUGCGGUAGAGGGUAGUGGAACUCCCGGUGUAGCGGUGAAAUGCGUAGAUAUCGGGAAGAACACCAGUGGCGAAGGCGGCUACCUGGACUGACACUGACACUGAGACACGAAAGCGUGGGGAGCAAACAGG